Catharus ustulatus (Swainson's thrush) is the source of this 171-nucleotide long non-coding RNA. RefSeq lists it as uncharacterized. Lineage: Eukaryota; Metazoa; Chordata; Aves; Passeriformes; Turdidae. The transcript has 2 exons. The record is from RefSeq and is a predicted model, not a curated record.
CGAGGUAUAAAAGGCCUCAGAAUAAUGGUGGCUGUUUGGCUCCUCAGACUUGAAUUUGAGAUGAGGAAAUUCUGCAAGAGAAAGAUGCUGGACUUGCCUCUGUGGAUGUGUGCUGAGCUCUCACUGCAGGGACUGCCAGGCCUGAGUGGCUGUGAGUUGGUGUUCUUCUCC